AGUGAACGCUGGCGGCAGGCCUAACACAUGCAAGUCGAACGGCAGCACAGAGGAGCUUGCUCCUUGGGUGGCGAGUGGCGGACGGGUGAGGAAUACAUCGGAAUCUGCCUAUUUGUGGGGGAUAACGUAGGGAAACUUACGCUAAUAUCGCAUACGACCUACGGGUGAAAGCGGAGGACCUUCGGGCUUCGCGCAGAUAGAUGAGCCGAUGUCGGAUUAGCUAGUUGGCGGGGUAAAGGCCCACCAAGGCGACGAUCCGUAGCUGGUCUGAGAGGAUGAUAAGCCACACUGGAACUGAGACACGGUCCAGACUCCUACGGGAGGCAGCAGUGGGGAAUAUUGGACAAUGGGCGCAAGCCUGAUCCAGCCAUGCCGCGUGGGUGAAGAAGGCCUUCGGGUUGUAAAGCCCUUUUGUUGGGAAAGAAAAGCAGUCGGUUAAUACCCGAUUGUUCUGACGGUACCCAAAGAAUAAGCACCGGCUAACUUCGUGCCAGCCGCCGCCGUAA
RNAcentral lists this ribosomal RNA (506 nucleotides) under uncultured bacterium. RNAcentral's name for it is "partial 16S ribosomal RNA". It matches the Rfam family "Bacterial small subunit ribosomal RNA", at positions 29 to 523 of the family's 1533-position model. The record is from RNAcentral.